AAAAUAUGCGUCCGCGUGGUGCAUUAACGUUCCCUACUUGAAACAAGCCACAUACGUAAUUUAUGGAAUCCAUUGCUUGGCUGUUGAACUGUUUAUAAAGCCAAAAAGAAAGCUUGAAAAAAAUUGUGUUUGAUCAUCGAAUUCGAACAGGAUAAUGUUUAUUGACGCCACCAGAACUUUUAUGUUGAAUUGUAUGAUAGGUUGGCU
This is a non-coding RNA of Cinara cedri, 207 nucleotides long. The record is from the annotation of a GenBank genome assembly. NCBI's taxonomy places the organism in Eukaryota, Metazoa, Arthropoda, Insecta, Hemiptera, Aphididae.